Heterocephalus glaber (naked mole-rat) is the source of this 2480-nucleotide long non-coding RNA. NCBI's taxonomy places the organism in Eukaryota, Metazoa, Chordata, Mammalia, Rodentia, Bathyergidae. The record is from Ensembl.
AAAAAUGAGGUACUUCAGUAUUAAAUUAGAUUAUCUUCAUAGCAAUGUCUCCUAAAGGUGUUUUGUAAAGGAUAUCAAUGCCUUGAUUAGACCUAAUUUGUAGACUUAAGACUUUAUUUUCUAAACCUCGUGAUUCUGCUCAUCAAUCAUGUAUCUAAUCUAUAUGAUAUGCAGCCGCUGUAGGAACCAAUUCUUGAUUUUUAUAUGUUUAUAUUCUUUCUUAAUGAACCUUAGAAAGACUACAUGAUACUAAGUAGGCCACUUUUAGGGUUGUUUUUCUUGCCCACUCUGGUAGGGAAAUAAUCUUUUAUUAAUUGGUAUCAGUUUCCAACAACUGCAAAUACCAAGGAACUGAUUACCUUUUUUGAGCUAAUUCUCUCCAUCCCCAAUACACAUACUUUCUUACCUAAAUUUAAGAAUGGUAUCUUUUUGAUGUCUAAAAAGCAAAGUAUUUUAUAAUAUCUCAUUAGCCAGGCUUUUUAGGAACAGAAGUUUUUCCUUGAAAUUUGAUUGCUUAUAUGUGGCAGGGUGAAAAAUGUACAAACUACCCCUAUUUAUAUUUAUAUAUCUCUAUAUGUACCAAGUAUGGAAAUAUAGGAAGAGAUAUAGCCCAAUGAUAAAUGGUAAGUAGAGGUCUGAAAGUGUUGCUCCAUAGUAAACUUUCUGGAAAUUGGCAUUUCAAUACUGUUUUCCACUUUGAGAGGGAUCUCAGUCCAGGGAGCUGGCCAAGAAACAGCACUUCUCGGCGGCCACCAGUCAAUACAUCCCUUCAAGAGGCUCUGCUGACGACAAACGUGAAAGAGGUGGGCCCGGAACUCCAUGGUUUUAUCCCAGCGAUGAGGUUCAUGCGCUGCAUAGUUCAGCGUGACCCCUUGUGAGUUCAUUUUUAGAAAUGCAUGAGUUGGAGUGACUCUUAACUUCACACAGGACAAAAGAGAAAAUGGUGUUUUAACCGGAUUUAAGUCUUUUUUCACUAACACCAUCCAAAAGAAGCCUGUGUUCUUUCAUUGUUACCCAUCUGCCCACUGUGUUUUAACAUCAGUCCCAACUCAGACAAAUCUGCAGAGCUGUGAGACUGGCAGUUUAGAAUAAUUCAUGAUCAUUACUGUCUUGAAGGAAAGAGAUUAUAAAUUAAAUUCUCUUAGGGUUCAGAUCAGGUAGUGGAUUUUGUUUUACAUCUAAUUAGGAGAAGAAAAUAAGUGAAGGUCCUCUGAUCAUAUUGAUCACUAUCGAAGCAAAAGCCAAAUCAACUCCCUUCAUUAUCAGUAUUUCUCAUGCUGUACACAAUAAAUUUGUUAGACUGAGUACUUGGUUUUUGUUGAUAGAACAAAUAAUCAGUGUUUUACUUAUAUUACUAAAUGUGAAAAACAUAAUGUGAAAAGUAUACAUACAUUAACUUGGUUGUAAAACCCAUUAAGUGUUCAUGUAAUGUGGUAAGUUUAAAAGUGAAGUGAGCUGUUUUACUACAAUGAAUUCGUUUGACUCAAAGAUUAAAAAGCCCCUCUCCCGAUGUGUAUCUCUUAUGGCCUGUAAUAAUUGAAAGCAAUGUUUUUGCAAUUUAUAUAAUGCAGUUUUUAAUCUGUGUUUAAAAAUGGAGUUCAUAUGGGCUUAACACAUGAACUGGGUGGCACAGAUCCACUUGCAGAACCCAAAGAUACACAAUCAAUUUUGAAAUGCAACUUAAGCCAUUAAUUGUUGGUGUGAAUUUAAAAUUUUCUAGUGUUUGUAUGGUAGUAUGUUGCCUAAGAGCAAAGCAUUCUCUGCACAAAAGAAAAUUACUGUAGUGGCUUCAAUUUUAAUUAGAAUUUUCUCCCUGGUGUUUCUUUAUAGACUAAAACAAAGUCUUUUAAGUUUCUUACUACAGGUAAAAGCUAUGUGCAAGAACCUCAAAAUGCUAAAAUCUAGCAUAAUGCCUUAGAUCUGUUUUUAAGUCUUGUAUAUUCCUACAUAGCUGUCCGAUGUAUUAUAUUUGUAUAGUGAAUUGUGUACAAUUUUUGAAUAAGUGCAUCAUCACUUAACCUUUAUGUUAUUGAAGAGUGAUGAUGAUACAUUUCUUCAAACAUUUAACUGUCAUUUUUUCCUUUGUCAUUUGUGGGUUUUAUUUGUACAGUUACUCAUAAAGUUGCAUCUGAGAUGUGUGUAUAUGAAAAGAUUAUACAAGGGUAAAAUUAAGCAAUAUAUAAACUAUGGUUCUUCAGGAGAAAGCUUACAGUGUUUCAGGUUGUGAUUUAUUUUCAAAACAGAGUUGACUCAACAUCACUUUGUUCACCUGCAUUGAUGUUUGUAUUUCUAGUGUGAGCAGUUUAUGCAAAGUUAGAUAUAUUCAGAGAAAUUUUAAAUACAUUUAUGCAAGUUAAUAUUGCUUUGCUGAUGCUAUUUGCUUAUUUGAUGUUAAAUAAUGCUAUUGUAAAUAAAGAAUUCUGUUGUUAUUGCAUCAUUUAAUAAAUUUUAAUGCCUUCGGGUUUUACAUGGCUUUAGAU